UGGAUGAUGCAUUUAUGGGAGCUGU
RNAcentral lists this non-coding RNA (25 nucleotides) under Rattus norvegicus (Norway rat). Lineage: Eukaryota; Metazoa; Chordata; Mammalia; Rodentia; Muridae. The record is from RNAcentral.